Molecule: ribosomal RNA, 497 nt
Filed under: uncultured bacterium
Lineage: Bacteria
Description: partial 16S ribosomal RNA
Rfam family: Bacterial small subunit ribosomal RNA
Source: RNAcentral
GAUGAACGCUGGCGGCGUGCUUAAUACAUGCAAGUCGAGCGAACGGACGAGAAGCUUGCUUCUCUGAUGUUAGCGGCGGACGGGUGAGUAACACGUGGAUAACCUACCUAUAAGACUGGGAUAACUUCGGGAAACCGGAGCUAAUACCGGAUAAUAUUUUGAACCGCAUGGUUCAAAAGUGAAAGACGGUCUUGCUGUCACUUAUAGAUGGAUCCGCGCUGCAUUAGCUAGUUGGUAAGGUAACGGCUUACCAAGGCAACGAUGCAUAGCCGACCUGAGAGAGGGAUCGGCCACACUGGAACUGAGACACGGUCCAGGCUCCUACGGGAGGCAGCAGUAGGGAAUCUUCCGCAAUGGGCGAAAGCCUGACGGAGCAACGCCGCGUGAGUGAUGAAAGUCUUCGGAUCGUAAAACUCUGUUAUUAGGGAAGAACAUAUGUGUAAGUAACUGUGCACAUCUUGGCGGUACCUAAUCAGAAAGCCACGGCUAACUACGUG